UCUGACGGUUGGACGUCCAUGUCCUUCGGCUUAAUUGUGGAGCAAACAAAAAAUGUUUGUAUAUUCCCAAGCAAACGUCAAAUAUUAAGCCUCUGGGUGUUGAGAGGAUCCAAUUGAAUUUUCUCCAUCUGAAGGCGGCCUCAUAUUCCAUUGCCCUUGAUAGCGGCGUUGCUGCAUUGAAACUUUGGGACUGGCCAUGAGGCAGACAGUU
This 211-nucleotide small nucleolar RNA is filed under the name Zea mays. RNAcentral describes it as "Zm_49". The record is from RNAcentral. Lineage: Eukaryota; Viridiplantae; Streptophyta; Magnoliopsida; Poales; Poaceae.